RNAcentral lists this microRNA precursor (93 nucleotides) under Myotis lucifugus (little brown bat). Its description in RNAcentral is "miRNA (ENSMLUG00000024194.1)". The record is from RNAcentral. Lineage: Eukaryota; Metazoa; Chordata; Mammalia; Chiroptera; Vespertilionidae.
UGUGUGUGUUUGUGUGUGUGUGUGUGUGUGUGUACAUAUGUAUAUAUAUAUAUAUACACACACACACACACACACACACAAACACACACAUAC